Molecule: ribosomal RNA, 429 nt
Filed under: bacterium
Lineage: Bacteria
Description: partial 16S ribosomal RNA
Rfam family: Bacterial small subunit ribosomal RNA
Source: RNAcentral
UAGGGAAUCUUCCACAAUGGACGCAAGUCUGAUGGAGCAACGCCGCGUGAGUUAAGAAGGUUUUCGGAUCGUAAAGCUCUGUUGUUGGUGAAGAAGGAUAGAGGCAGUAACUGGUCUUUAUUUGACGGUAAUCAACCAGAAAGUCACGGCUAACUACGUGCCAGCAGCCGCGGUAAUACGUAGGUGGCAAGCGUUGUCCGGAUUUAUUGGGCGUAAAGCGAGCGCAGGCGGAAUGAUAAGUCUGAUGUGAAAGCCCACGGCUCAACCGUGGAACUGCAUCGGAAACUGUCAUUCUUGAGUGCAGAAGAGGAGAGUGGAAUUCCAUGUGUAGCGGUGGAAUGCGUAGAUAUAUGGAAGAACACCAGUGGCGAAGGCGGCUCUCUGGUCUGCAACUGACGCUGAGGCUCGAAAGCAUGGGUAGCGAACAGG